This 442-nucleotide ribosomal RNA is filed under the name uncultured bacterium. RNAcentral describes it as "partial 16S ribosomal RNA". It matches the Rfam family "Bacterial small subunit ribosomal RNA", at positions 338 to 795 of the family's 1533-position model. The record is from RNAcentral.
CCUACGGGUGGCAGCAGUGGGGAAUAUUGGGCAAUGGGCGCAAGCCUGACCCAGCAACGCCGCGUGAAGGAAGAAGGCUUUCGGGUUGUAAACUUCUUUUCUGAGGGACGAAGAAAGUGACGGUACCUCAGGAAUAAGCCACGGCUAACUACGUGCCAGCAGCCGCGGUAAUACGUAGGUGGCACGCGUUCUCCGGCUUUAUUGGGUUUAAAGGGUGCGCAGGCGGAAGAUCAAGUCAGCGGUAAAAUUGAGAGGCGCAAACUCGUCGAGCCGUUGAAACUGGUUUUCUGGAGGGAGCGAGAAGUAGGCGGAAGGCGUGGUGUAGCGGGGAAAUGCAUAGAUAGCACGCAGAACUCCGAUUGCGAAGGCAGCAUACCGGCGCUCAACUGACGCUCAUGCACGAAAGUGUGGGUAUCGAACAGGAUUAGAUACCCCUGUAGUC